CCUACGGGAGGCAGCAGUGGGGAAUAUUGGACAAUGGGGGGAACCCUGAUCCAGCCAUGCCGCGUGUGUGAAGAAGGCCCUCGGGUUGUAAAGCACUUUCAGUGAGGAAGAACGCCUGGUGGUUAAUACCCAUCAGGAAAGACAUCACUCACAGAAGAAGCACCGGCUAACUCCGUGCCAGCAGCCGCGGUAAUACGGAGGGUGCGAGCGUUAAUCGGAAUUACUGGGCGUAAAGCGCGCGUAGGUGGCUUGAUAAGCCGGUUGUGAAAGCCCCGGGCUCAACCUGGGAACGGCAUCCGGAACUGUCAAGCUAGAGUGCAGGAGAGGAAGGUAGAAUUCCCGGUGUAGCGGUGAAAUGCGUAGAGAUCGGGAGGAAUACCAGUGGCGAAGGCGGCCUUCUGGACUGACACUGAGACUGAGGUGCGAAAGCGUGGGUAGCAAACAGGAUUAGAUACCCGAGUAGUC
RNAcentral lists this ribosomal RNA (465 nucleotides) under Vreelandella stevensii. RNAcentral describes it as "partial 16S ribosomal RNA". It matches the Rfam family "Bacterial small subunit ribosomal RNA", at positions 338 to 795 of the family's 1533-position model. The record is from RNAcentral. Lineage: Bacteria; Pseudomonadati; Pseudomonadota; Gammaproteobacteria; Oceanospirillales; Halomonadaceae.